GAGGCAGCAGUGGGGAAUUUUCCGCAAUGGGCGAAAGCCUGACGGAGCAACGCCGCGUGAGGGAUGAAGGCCUCUGGGCUGUAAACCUCUUUUAUCAAGGAAGAAGAUCUGACGGUACUUGAUGAAUAAGCCACGGCUAAUUCCGUGCCAGCAGCCGCGGUAAUACGGGAGUGGCAAGCGUUAUCCGGAAUUAUUGGGCGUAAAGCGUCCGCAGGCGGCCCUUCAAGUCUGCUGUUAAAAAGUGGAGCUUAACUCCAUCAUGGCAGUGGAAACUGAGGGGCUUGAGUGUGGUAGGGGCAGAGGGAAUUCCCGGUGUAGCGGUGAAAUGCGUAGAUAUCGGGAAGAACACCAGUGGCGAAGGCGCUCUGCUGGGCCAUCACUGACGCUCAUGGACGAAAGCCAGGGGAGCGAAAGGGAUUAGAUACCCCUGUAGUCCUGGCCGUAAACGAUGAACACUAGGUGUCGGGGGAAUCGACCCCCUCGGUGUCGUAGCCAACGCGUUAAGUGUUCCGCCUGGGGAGUACGCACGCAAGUGUGAAACUCAAAGGAAUUGACGG
This 557-nucleotide ribosomal RNA is filed under the name uncultured Synechococcus sp. Its description in RNAcentral is "bacterial SSU rRNA". It matches the Rfam family "Bacterial small subunit ribosomal RNA", at positions 345 to 916 of the family's 1533-position model. The record is from RNAcentral. Lineage: Bacteria; Bacillati; Cyanobacteriota; Cyanophyceae; Synechococcales; Synechococcaceae.